Molecule: ribosomal RNA, 533 nt
Filed under: uncultured bacterium
Lineage: Bacteria
Description: bacterial SSU rRNA
Rfam family: Bacterial small subunit ribosomal RNA
Source: RNAcentral
AAUAGAUACCCCGGUAGUCCACGCCGUAAACGAUGAGUGCUAAGUGUUAGAGGGUUUCCGCCCUUUAGUGCUGCAGCAAACGCAUUAAGCACUCCGCCUGGGGAGUACGGCCGCAAGGCUGAAACUCAAAGGAAUUGACGGGGGCCCGCACAAGCGGUGGAGCAUGUGGUUUAAUUCGAAGCAACGCGAAGAACCUUACCAGGUCUUGACAUCUCCUGACAACCCUAGAGAUAGGGCGUUCCCCUUCGGGGGACAGGAUGACAGGUGGUGCAUGGUUGUCGUCAGCUCGUGUCGUGAGAUGUUGGGUUAAGUCCCGCAACGAGCGCAACCCUUGAUCUUAGUUGCCAGCAUUCAGUUGGGCACUCUAAGGUGACUGCCGGUGACAAACCGGAGGAAGGUGGGGAUGACGUCAAAUCAUCAUGCCCCUUAUGACCUGGGCUACACACGUGCUACAAUGGAUGGUACAAAGGGCUGCGAGACCGCGAGGUUAAGCGAAUCCCAUAAAACCAUUCUCAGUUCGGAUUGCAGGCUGA